This 265-nucleotide ribosomal RNA is filed under the name Gammaproteobacteria bacterium. RNAcentral's name for it is "partial 23S ribosomal RNA". It matches the Rfam family "Bacterial large subunit ribosomal RNA", at positions 2662 to 2925 of the family's 2925-position model. Lineage: Bacteria; Pseudomonadati; Pseudomonadota; Gammaproteobacteria. The record is from RNAcentral.
UUGAGAGGAGCUGCUCCUAGUACGAGAGGACCGGAGUGGACGAACCUCUGGUGUACCGGUUGUCACGCCAGUGGCAUAGCCGGGUAGCUAAGUUCGGGAAGGAUAACCGCUGAAAGCAUCUAAGCGGGAAGCCAGCCUCGAGAUGAGAUAUCCCGACCGUGAGGUCUUAAAGGUUUGUUGAAGACGACGACGUUGAUAGGCAGGGUGUGGAAGCGCAGUGAUGUGUGAAGCUAACCUGUACUAAUUGACCGUGAGGCUUGGUUAU